This is an RNA transcript of Pan troglodytes (chimpanzee), 3092 nucleotides long. It is a transcript of the gene named atonal bHLH transcription factor 8, with no coding region annotated. Lineage: Eukaryota; Metazoa; Chordata; Mammalia; Primates; Hominidae. The record is from RefSeq and is a predicted model, not a curated record. The transcript is spliced from 5 exons.
CGGGCGAAGGGGGAGAGCCAGAGACUCCUCGGCGCUGAGCGCGGCGGCGGCCCGGGCAGCCCCACGCCCCUGCCUCGCGCGCCGCCCGCGCCAUGAAGCACAUCCCGGUCCUCGAGGACGGGCCGUGGAAGACCGUGUGCGUGAAGGAGCUGAACGGCCUUAAGAAGCUCAAGCGGAAAGGCAAGGAGCCGGCGCGGCGCGCGAACGGCUAUAAAACUUUCCGACUGGACUUGGAAGCGCCCGAACCCCGCGCCGUAGCCACCAACGGGCUGAGGGACAGGACCCAUCGGCUGCAGCCGGUCCCGGUACCGGUGCCGGUGCCAGUCCCAGUGGCGCCGGCCGUUCCCCCAAGAGGGGGCACGGACACAGCCGGGGAGCGCGGGGGCUCUCGGGCGCCCGAGGUCUCCGACGCGCGGAAACGCUGCUUCGCCCUAGGCGCAGUGGGGCCAGGACUCCCCACGCCGCCGCCGCCGCCGCCGCCGCCGCCUCCUGCGCCCCAGAGCCAGGCAACUGGGGGCCCAGAGGCACAGCCUUUCCGGGAGCCGGGUCUGCGUCCUCGCAUCUUGCUGUGCGCACCGCCCGCGCGCCCCGCGCCGUCAGCACCCCCAGCACCGCCAGCGCCGGAGUCCACUGUGCGCCCUGCGCCCCCAACGCGCCCCGGGGAAAGUUCCUACUCGUCAAUUUCACACGUAAUUUACAAUAACCACCCGGAUUCCUCCGCGUCGCCUAGGAAACGACCGGGCGAAGCGACUGCCGCCUCCUCCGAGAUCAAAGCCCUGCAGCAGACCCGGAGGCUCCUGGCGAACGCCAGGGAGCGGACGCGGGUGCACACCAUCAGCGCAGCCUUCGAGGCGCUCAGGAAGCAGGUGCCAUGCUACUCGUAUGGGCAGAAGCUGUCCAAACUGGCCAUCCUGAGGAUCGCCUGUAACUACAUCCUGUCCCUGGCGCGGCUGGCUGACCUCGACUACAGUGCCGACCACAGCAACCUCAGCUUCUCCGAGUGUGUGCAGCGCUGCACCCGCACCCUGCAGGCCGAGGGACGUGCCAAGAAGCGCAAGGAAAGUUCUUCUGCACGGCCUUGACUGACUCCGAGGUUUGCAAACAUCCACUGGCUUCAGUGAAGGAGGGGUUUGACCGCUGGCCCUACCUUGCUCCUGACCUGGGGCCUGUGGGGCAGCUGUCUGCACAGCACGGCUGAGGCCUGUGCCAGUCCCCUCCUCUCUGGUGAGCAGCCUUGAGAAAUACAGAAAGGACUGGGCGGAAUCCACAGCAGCAGCCAGCAACGGUGGUCCUCAGCUUUCCCCUAGAGUUAGACUGUAAGCUGCCGCAGUGCCUGGGACAGGACUGGCCCCUAUUAGGAACUAAUACAUCUUUGUUGAAUAAAUGACUUUUUCUCCCCAUUCUUGGUCCCCAGGCCAACUGUCCUGGCUCACUAAAGGCUCUGGCCAUAACUGAAACUCUUAGACACUCGGGACCUUGAAGGGCCCUCCAAGCCCGGACACAGCACUAUCCUCGAUUCAUGCCAUGUUCCCGCCCCCCGCAAAUAGCAGCCAAUUCCAACUGCUCAUAAAUUUCCUGCCUGUCACCCAUGGCGCCCAGGCCAGGCAGGCAGGAGGUGCUGGAGGCCGACUGGUCCAUACCUGCUUCCAGGUCCCUGGGGAGCUUGGAGGCCAGAAGCCCAGGCUUUGCGCCUGUGCCCAGAAUAACCUCUGCAAAGUCUGGCCCUUGGAGAAGAUGUGAAAGCAGAUCUGUCAAACGCAAGGAUGUCCAGGCUUGAGUGUUAAAGAAAACACCAGUGCAGCUUAUGAUGCAGCUUGUACAGCGUAAUUCCACUUUUCGUAAAAUACUGUAUGACUUUUUGGAGCCUUUGACAUGCUAAUACAUGCAGUGACUUUCCAAGUGGGACCAAGGAGUGACUGGCUGCAGGCAAGACCAAGGCCACCACUGUGGGCCCUCCUUCCAGUCAGGCCUGAGGACAAGGUGAGCUCGCUGAGUCCAGCCUCGUGGUCUUCUCCAAGAUGCCGCCAGACGCCCAGCCUACAGCCUCUCAGGGUCGGAUCGGAGCACGCCUGCCUCCCUCUCCCCUCCGCCCUCACCCAGCCACUCCGAGGCUGCUUCGCACUUUGCCCUCUGCCUGGUGGGGAGGGGAGAGCUCAGCCCCCCACUCACUCAGACCCCAAGGCCCACUGUCCAGCUGCAGAAGUUCGUUGCCAAAGAUUGGACAGAGACACCGAAGGAAAUGGGGUGAUGAAACCCCACAGCGAAAAGCCACACCAUUGCUCUGUGACUUUUGCUCCUCCUGUUGCCUGAGCCCCAUCUCAAGCCAAAGAUGAAUCAGUGGUUCUGCUAGGAACUCAUGGAAGGGAUGGGCAUUUGAUGACCCCUGGGGGUCAUCUUGGCCCUCUGACCUGGCGCUCUCUCUCCACUGGGCCUUGCACUGGCUGAGUGCAAGACAAGCCUUAGGGGCUGUGAGAGGGAGGCUGGGGUGCCUGGGCGGGGCCGAGAGUGGGGCCUGAGAUCCCUGCCCACUCUCUCCCCUUCAUUGGCUGCCCAGGCCACUGGCCCCAGUUCUCAGUGUCCCCUGGGUCCAGGCUCCUUGGGCCCUAAGCAUCACCAGAAGGGAGUAAGCAGGGAGAGAAGCAAUAUUACUCCCUCCCCUACACCAGGGACUUGCCCCAGGGCAGCUACCUGUGGGUCUUUGCUCCCGCAGCCAGCCUCUCCUCACUGUGACCCACCCCCAUGGGCCCCCAUCCCAGGCAGCCAGCACCAUGGGCAGGCCCUGCCAUGGACAGAAAAAGAGUUUUUCUCUUGUUCAGCCUGCCCGUGGCCUGAGGAAGGAGUAGAGGCUGGGUUGGCUGGAGCCGUCCUACUGGGCAAGAUGGCACCCCACUUGGAGGGCGGUGGUCUGUUACAGGGUGUGCAGGGGCAGAGAAGGAAGGGACCAGGGGACUGGGCCAGUAUGUGGAGGAUGGGGGCUGCGUGUUCAAAGCCAAGGCCCGCCCCUUCCUUGUGCUCAAAUGGCCAAAGCUGUUCACGUCUGUGCUCAACCAUCUGCUUCAAAUUGAAGUAAAAGCCCCAAAAUGUCAAGAAAA